UACGUAGGGGGCAAGCGUUGUCCGGAAUCAUUGGGCGUAAAGAGCGUGUAGGCGGCCUGACAGGUCUGCUGUGAAAACUCGAGGCUCAACCUCGAGAUGUCGGCGGAAACCGUCUGGCUAGAGUCCGGAAGAGGAGAGUGGAAUUCCUGGUGUAGCGGUGAAAUGCGCAGAUAUCAGGAAGAACACCUAUGGCGAAGGCAGCUCUCUGGGACGGUACUGACGCUGAGGAGCGAAAGCGUGGGGAGCGAACAGG
RNAcentral lists this ribosomal RNA (253 nucleotides) under uncultured bacterium. RNAcentral's name for it is "partial 16S ribosomal RNA". It matches the Rfam family "Bacterial small subunit ribosomal RNA", at positions 524 to 776 of the family's 1533-position model. The record is from RNAcentral.